AGCGACAGACAGGAGCUCUGCUCCUCGACGUCGCGGCGGACGGGUGAGUAACACGUGGGUAACCUACCUAUAAGACUGGGAUAACUUCGGGAAACCGGAGCUAAUGCCGGAUAAUACCACGAACCGCAUGGUUCGAUAGUGAAAGAUGGUUCCCGCUAUCACUUAUAGAUGGACCCGCGCCGUAUUAGCUAGUUCGGUAAGGUAACGGCUUACCAAGGCGACGAUACGUAGCCGACCUGAGAGGGUGAUCGGCCACACUGGAACUGAGACACGGUCCAGACUCCUACGGGAGGCAGCAGUAGGGAAUCUUCCGCAAUGGGCGAAAGCCUGACGGAGCAACGCCGCGUGAGUGAUGAAGGUCUUCGGAUCGUAAAACUCUGUUAUUAGGGAAGAACAUACGUGUAAGUAACUAUGCACGUCUUGACGGUACCUAAUCAGAAAGCCACGGCUAACUACGUGCCAGCAGCCGCGGUAAUACGUAGGUGGCAAGCGUUAUCCGGAAUUAUUGGGCGUAAAGCGCGCGUAGGCGGUUUUUUAAGUCUGAUGUGAAAGCCCACGGCUCAACCCGUGGAGGGUCAUUGGAAACUGGAAAACUUGAGUGCAGA
This 605-nucleotide ribosomal RNA is filed under the name Staphylococcus haemolyticus. Its description in RNAcentral is "bacterial SSU rRNA". It matches the Rfam family "Bacterial small subunit ribosomal RNA", at positions 65 to 652 of the family's 1533-position model. The record is from RNAcentral. Lineage: Bacteria; Bacillati; Bacillota; Bacilli; Caryophanales; Staphylococcaceae.